UACGGAGGGAGCUAGCGUUGUUCGGAAUUACUGGGCGUAAAGCGUGCGCAGGCGGUUCGUUGUGUCUGAUGUGAAAGCCCCGGGCUCAACCUGGGAAUGGCAUUGGAAACUGGCGAGCUAGAGUGUGGCAGAGGGGGGUGGAAUUCCGCGUGUAGCAGUGAAAUGCGUAGAGAUGCGGAGGAACACCGAUGGCGAAGGCAGCCCCCUGGGCUGACACUGACGCUCAGGCACGAAAGCGUGGGGAGCAAACAGG
This 253-nucleotide ribosomal RNA is filed under the name uncultured bacterium. RNAcentral's name for it is "partial 16S ribosomal RNA". It matches the Rfam family "Bacterial small subunit ribosomal RNA", at positions 524 to 776 of the family's 1533-position model. The record is from RNAcentral.